UUACAGCCAUAUCACAGUGAAACACCAGUUCUUGUCCAAUCACCGAAGUUAAGCAACAUUGAACCUGGUCAGUACUUAGAGAGUGACUGUUCAGGAAUACCAAGUGCUGUAAGC
This is a non-coding RNA of Acanthosepion pharaonis, 114 nucleotides long. Lineage: Eukaryota; Metazoa; Mollusca; Cephalopoda; Sepiida; Sepiidae. The record is from the annotation of a GenBank genome assembly.